RNAcentral lists this long non-coding RNA (605 nucleotides) under Vigna radiata. RNAcentral's name for it is "long non-coding RNA (VRAD_LNC000892)". The record is from RNAcentral. Lineage: Eukaryota; Viridiplantae; Streptophyta; Magnoliopsida; Fabales; Fabaceae.
UUUCACAAGAUCUUUUCUUCUUUCCUCUCUUUCUCUUUUUCUUAAUUUUCUCCUUCCUUAACCUUCUCUUUUUCUUUUUCCUCCCUUUCUUUAUUUUCAAUUUUUUUCUUUUUUCUCUUUUUUUCUCAACCAUGGCUUUUCCUUCCUCAUCUUUCUUCUCAUUCUCAUUCAAAUUUUUCAUUUCUAUCUCCUCUAUAUUUUUCUCAACAACAACUUCUUCUGUUUUUGUUUCCUCUUCCAACAUCUCUCGCUCUUCUUCUUCUUUCUUUUCCUCAUUGAGAACCUUAUCAUGUGCAAAGAUAGUGGCUUGACAUUCUUCUUUAGGGUUGACUUCAGUAUCAACGUUAAUAAUGCCCAAAGCUCUCAGGGCAUGAGAGUGUUGUUCCUGCAAUAAAUGUGCUUGUUUUUCUCCCAAAGUUUCUUUGCGUACAGGAGAUUGUUUUUGUUGUAAACGUUGUUGGGCUUCUCCAAACGUUUCUUUUGGUCCAGAGAUUACGUACUGCUGCAAGAAUUUUUGGAUGUCCCCCAACGUUUCUUCUGGUACAGAGAAUAAUUCCUGCUGCAACGUUCUUUAACUUCCCCUCAAGUUCCUUUUCGUAAGGAGG